AUGCCUCUGAGUGACCAACUGAAGCAGUUGGUUGAGCUCCACAGGGCGACCAAAGUGGCCAUGAAGGACUUCAUAGUCCGGAUGUGGCCUGGUGAGCCCCUGCCCGACAGCUACUUCGGCCUUAUAAAGCGGACGGUGAAUGCCUGUCCGCGGCUCGAAGUUAUCAAGCAAUCCGUUUGUAUUGAGGGUGCCCGCCGGGCCUUUGCCCGUGCGAAGAUGCAUUGGGCCAAGCUGGAUGCGGAGAAGCUGGUGAAGGAUGGACCGCUGGAGGGCAAGGCGCAUCACUACCCCGAGAAAUAUUAUGAUGGCGUUAUGAAAGACGCUCGCCUCGUGCCCGAUGAAUGUACCAAGGACGCGAUCUUUGAGUGA
This 369-nucleotide ribosomal RNA is filed under the name Triticum aestivum (bread wheat). RNAcentral describes it as "partial small subunit ribosomal RNA". Lineage: Eukaryota; Viridiplantae; Streptophyta; Magnoliopsida; Poales; Poaceae. The record is from RNAcentral.